GGGUAUCGCGGUGCGAGGGGGCGGGGGAAUGUGGAGAGUGAAAGUGGUAGACGGAUUUAAUUGGGUUAAAGGGUUCGUAGGGGGACUGGUAAUGCAGUGGGUAAAUAUAAUAGUUUAACGAGGAAACGGACAUUGAUACUGCAGGUAUUGAGUAAAUUUGAAGUGGCUGGAAUAAGUAGGGUAGCGGUGAAAUGCAUAGAUAUUACUUAGAACACCAAUUGCGAAGGCAGGUCACUAAGAUUUAACUGACGCUGAUGGACGAAAGCGUGGGUAGCGAACAGGAUUAGAUACCCGGUAGUC
This 300-nucleotide ribosomal RNA is filed under the name uncultured archaeon. RNAcentral's name for it is "bacterial SSU rRNA". The stretch from base 53 to 300 matches the Rfam family "Bacterial small subunit ribosomal RNA", at positions 547 to 795 of the family's 1533-position model. The record is from RNAcentral.